UUAUAUCUUAAAACUGAUUCUACUUAUCCAAGUUAUAGACAGAGUCACUGUACAAGAGGUUAUCAGACUUGUUCUGGAACAGUUCUUGGAAAGUUAUGAGUAGCUGGCAGGACUUGCAGCCCACAUACUCAGGAAAGGCUGUUACAUCAAGUCAACAACAUCUGUAGUCAUCACUGUAGCAUGUUACCAUCACAGAAGAUGAGAGUCUCUUCAUCAUGCAGCAAAGCAUAGAAGGAGGUAGGACACCUGGAUGGAGAGGUAAGACACCUGGAUGAGGCUGUGUGGUGUCCUUGCCCUAAGAGAAUGUGUCUGGGU
Molecule: long non-coding RNA, 315 nt
Filed under: Canis lupus dingo (dingo)
Lineage: Eukaryota; Metazoa; Chordata; Mammalia; Carnivora; Canidae
Description: lncRNA (ENSCAFG00020027469.1)
Source: RNAcentral